CAGUCGCCGCGGGAAUACAGAGGGUGCGAGCGUUAAUCGGAUUUACUGGGCGUAAAGCGUGCGUAGGCGGCUUCUUAAGUCGGAUGUGAAAUCCCUGAGCUUAACUUAGGAAUUGCAUUCGAUACUGGGAAGCUAGAGUAUGGGAGAGGAUGGUAGAAUUCCAGGUGUAGCGGUGAAAUGCGUAGAGAUCUGGAGGAAUACCGAUGGCGAAGGCAGCCAUCUGGCCUAAUACUGACGCUGAGGUACGAAAGCAUGGGGAGCAAACAGGAUUAGAUACCCCUGUAGUCCCUGUCUCUUAACC
RNAcentral lists this ribosomal RNA (301 nucleotides) under uncultured bacterium. Its description in RNAcentral is "partial 16S ribosomal RNA". It matches the Rfam family "Bacterial small subunit ribosomal RNA", at positions 509 to 808 of the family's 1533-position model. The record is from RNAcentral.